Molecule: unclassified non-coding RNA, 1335 nt
Filed under: Hevea brasiliensis (rubber tree)
Lineage: Eukaryota; Viridiplantae; Streptophyta; Magnoliopsida; Malpighiales; Euphorbiaceae
Source: RNAcentral
AUUCUCACCUUGCCUCUCUCCUUUGCCAUUCCCUCUCUCAUAGUCUUGCGUUGUCUCUAGAAGUCGAUCCUAUCCUUCCCCCUCUCAACUCAUUUCCCUUGAUUAUCAAUAUCUCAAUCCCGUUUCCCUCGAUUCUUAGAUUCUUAGAUUCAAUAUCAAUCUUCUUAAUCUCAGUUUCUCAAUCUUGCAUCGUCGCAUGUUGACGUUGCCAUCCUCACCUCAAUCUCAUAGUUAUCAGUUUCUCAAUCAAGCCAUUACAAUGCAUCCUCACGGUGUGCCAUGAAAUUGGGCAUUUUGGGUAUUGUUAUCAGUUUCUGGGUGUCAUAUAUUUGUAUUGUUGAUUGAAGAAUUGACUUGCCUCUUGCGCUUUAUGCUUGGAUGGGGUAUUGCAUAUUUGUAUUGUUGAUUGAAGAUUUGACUUGCUUCUUAUGCUUUAGUGCUGCAAAAAGCUAGAAACCCAUUUCUAUUGCUGUUUGGUUCAGCCCUUUUCUACAUCGACUCCCUUCUCUAUAUGAAGUUAGGGUUUUAUAGGUUUCCCAUUUUGGUUUUCUUCCUCCAUUUGCAAACUGAAAACAGAUGAACCCAAUCAAAAAAUUUUGGUUCAAUUCAAUUUGGUUUGCUUUCAUUUAUUUGACACUUCAGUUUUUUGGUUAUUUUGAUUGGGUUCAAUUUAGAACCAAACCAACUGUUUGUACACCCCAAGCCACAAUUCCAACCUUGUCUCGCCCCAUUGACAUUCCUAUGACCCAGAAAGUUGGAAACCACUAAGGAUAGUAACAAUUUUCCAGUAUUCUGCAUCUUUGCACUGUCAAAAAAGCUCACAUACCAUGCAACGCAAAUAACAACAACAACUAGUCUCUUAUUCAAAUGUCUAAAAUCAUUUGACGAUCACCAAAUUCAAUCACCUUAACAACCUGAAAUAUCUGAUUGACAAACUGGCUCUGUCAUUAUUUUCCACUAUAAUCACACUUCUCUUGUGUUCAAGCAAAAUCUCAUCCCAGCAUCAGCUAACUAGCUCAGUCAUCAUUUUUUACUAUAAUCACGCUUCUCUGUGUUCAAGCAAAAACUUGCAUUCAUCUCAGCAGUAACAAGCUCCUUGAAGUGACAUAGCUGCCAAUUCGAAUGCUUAAACCUUUCAAGUUUCAACAGACUCAUUAAGUGGCAAUAAGCAUCACGUCCAUUUUUCAUCUGAGGCGCUUCUACACUACCAUCAAGCCAAAUCACCUCCAUUACUUUACAUCAAUGUAUUUACCUCUAAAUCACGAACCUCUUCAGCUAAGCAUUUUAUAGGUUACACUGUUCAACCUUAUGGCAUCCUUAAGAUUAUACAUGUCA